This 292-nucleotide ribosomal RNA is filed under the name uncultured bacterium. RNAcentral describes it as "partial 16S ribosomal RNA". It matches the Rfam family "Bacterial small subunit ribosomal RNA", at positions 505 to 796 of the family's 1533-position model. The record is from RNAcentral.
GUGUCAGCAGCCGCGGUAAUACGUAGGAGGCGAGCGUUAUCCGGAUUUACUGGGCGUAAAGCGCGUGUAGGCGGCUUUUUAAGUUGGCAGUGAAAGGUUCCGGCUCAACUGGGAUUCGCCUGUCAAUACUGAAGAGCUUGAGGGCACCAGAGGAAAGUGGAACUCGCGGUGUAGCGGUGAAAUGUGUAGAUAUCGCGAGGAACACCAGUGGCGAAGGCGGCUUUCUGGGGUGUUCCUGACGCUGAGGCGCGAAAGCGUGGGGAGCGAAGCGGAUUAGAUACCCUGGUAGUCC